UACAGAGGGUGCAAGCGUUAAUCGGAAUUACUGGGCGUAAAGCGCGCGUAGUCGGUUAUUUAAGUCGGAUGUGAAAGCCCGGGGCUCAACCUCGGAACUGCCUUCGAUACUGGCUAUCUUGAGUACGGGAGAGGUGUGUGGAACUCCGAGUGUAGAGGUGAAAUUCGUAGAUAUUCGGAAGAACACCAGUGGCGAAGGCGACACACUGGCCCGUUACUGACGCUGAGGCGCGAAAGCGUGGGGAGCAAACAGG
This 253-nucleotide ribosomal RNA is filed under the name uncultured bacterium. Its description in RNAcentral is "partial 16S ribosomal RNA". It matches the Rfam family "Bacterial small subunit ribosomal RNA", at positions 524 to 776 of the family's 1533-position model. The record is from RNAcentral.